CGGAGCCACUGGACAGUGGCCUCUCCCAGGGUGUAAGCCGUACACACAGGGAGCACAUCUGUUCUCACCUUUGCACCCAGAAUUUUAGUCCAAGCUCCAAACCUGAAGUCCCCUGAAGCAGGAGCGAAUGCUGGUUUGCAGUUGAGCUGCAUCAUACACGAGCAGUGCAGUGAGGUGAAACAUACCAGGAGUUUUAAAACAAUAACCCAGAGGAGUCAUGUUCUGGAGCAGCCCUGGGCGGCCAGCUGGGAAAGACAUCACAGUGAAGGCUGAGAAGCGUGUUUACGAAGCGGGUAGUUUAACCUCCUCCGUGCCCGCGGGUGGUGUGUCUAGACGCGUCCCACGCUGCCAAGACUUCCAGGACCCUGAUUGGCGAUGGCUGGCAGCUUUCUCACCCUGGACGUGCCGUCAUUUCCUUGUUUACAUGGUUUCUUG
This 435-nucleotide long non-coding RNA is filed under the name Cavia porcellus (domestic guinea pig). Its description in RNAcentral is "lncRNA (ENSCPOG00000040162.1)". Lineage: Eukaryota; Metazoa; Chordata; Mammalia; Rodentia; Caviidae. The record is from RNAcentral.